Molecule: long non-coding RNA, 552 nt
Organism: Cephus cinctus (wheat stem sawfly)
Lineage: Eukaryota; Metazoa; Arthropoda; Insecta; Hymenoptera; Cephidae
Exons: 2
Source: RefSeq, a predicted model, not a curated record
AAGAAAAUAAAUAUAUUACGCUGAACUUUAGUCGAGUAUGUAAAUUAGAUUUUUUCAUAAUUAUACAAAAUUUUUUAAAAUAAAUCCAGCCAAGAUUUAAGAACCGUUAGAUCUUUACGACGGUCGAAGACAAUUUUCAUGGACCACACAAGCUGCCCAGUAUCCUUGGACAGAACGAAUGUAUAUAUGGUACUGAGAUGACUGCCAGGAUUUAACUCCAGCAUCCAGCACUGAAUCGCUCGUUUAGGAUGAAAAGGAUUGGUCCGUUGGAACGACUACGUGGGUGAUAAAAAAAAAUUGCCCAAAUUGGUCCAGAGGAUUUCACAAAUUUAAAACAUGACGAAACACAGAUCCCGAAGAUAUGCCAACCGUACAUAUCUCAAUUUCAAAGAGAUCGACUAUACAGAUGAAUUAUCAAGAUGAAACUAGGAGUCAAGAAAUACGAUCCGAUCAUUUGCAUAAUCCCGCUGGACCUCCCAAAUGGAGUCGGACUACCGUAUAGAAAAAAAGGUCCCACGUUACGUCAUCAAAAAAAAAAAAAAUGCAAGAGCC